Molecule: ribosomal RNA, 468 nt
Filed under: uncultured bacterium
Lineage: Bacteria
Description: partial 16S ribosomal RNA
Rfam family: Bacterial small subunit ribosomal RNA
Source: RNAcentral
GACGAACGCUGGCGGCGUGCUUAACACAUGCAAGUCGAACGGAAAGGCCCUGCUUUUGUGGGGUGCUCGAGUGGCGAACGGGUGAGUAACACGUGAGUAACCUGCCCUUGACUUUGGGAUAACUUCAGGAAACUGGGGCUAAUACCGGAUAGGAGCUCCUGCUGCAUGGUGGGGGUUGGAAAGUUUCGGCGGUUGGGGAUGGACUCGCGGCUUAUCAGCUUGUUGGUGGGGUAGUGGCUUACCAAGGCUUUGACGGGUAGCCGGCCUGAGAGGGUGACCGGCGACAUUGGGACUGAGAUACGGCCCAGAAUGCAACGGGAGGCAGCAGUGGGGAAUAUUGCACAAUGGGCGGAAGCCUGAUGAAGAAACGCCGCGUGCGGGAUGACGGCCUUCGGGUUGUAAACCGAUUUCGCCUGUGACGAAGCGUGAGUGACGGUAAUGGGUAAAGAAGCACCGGCUAACUACGUG